RNAcentral lists this ribosomal RNA (71 nucleotides) under Pseudopedinella elastica. RNAcentral describes it as "partial Eukaryotic small subunit ribosomal RNA". The record is from RNAcentral. Lineage: Eukaryota; Dictyochophyceae; Pedinellales.
GCAACAUCUAAAGGUUCUAGGCUUGAGAGAGAAGGCAUGCUGGCAAAGCUGAAAUUUAAAGGUGAAGGAGG